AAAUUGAAGAGUUUGAUCAUGGCUCAGAUUGAACGCUGGCGGCAGGCCUAACACAUGCAAGUCGAACGGUAACAGGAAGCAGCUUGCUGCUUUGCUGACGAGUGGCGGACGGGUGAGUAAUGUCUGGGAAACUGCCUGAUGGAGGGGGAUAACUACUGGAAACGGUGGCUAAUACCGCAUAACGUCGCAAGACCAAAGAGGGGGACCUUCGGGCCUCUUGCCAUCAGAUGUGCCCAGAUGGGAUUAGCUAGUUGGUGAGGUAACGGCUCACCAAGGCGACGAUCCCUAGCUGGUCUGAGAGGAUGACCAGCCACACUGGAACUGAGACACGGUCCAGACUCCUACGGGAGGCAGCAGUGGGGAAUAUUGCACAAUGGGCGCAAGCCUGAUGCAGCCAUGCCGCGUGUAUGAAGAAGGCCUUAGGGUUGUAAAGUACUUUCAGCGGGGAGGAAGGUGUUG
RNAcentral lists this ribosomal RNA (459 nucleotides) under Salmonella enterica subsp. enterica serovar Infantis. RNAcentral describes it as "partial 16S ribosomal RNA". It matches the Rfam family "Bacterial small subunit ribosomal RNA", at positions 1 to 456 of the family's 1533-position model. The record is from RNAcentral. Lineage: Bacteria; Pseudomonadati; Pseudomonadota; Gammaproteobacteria; Enterobacterales; Enterobacteriaceae. RNAcentral also lists the same sequence under 14 other names.